GGGGAUUAGUGGCGAACGGGUGAGUAACACGUGAGUAACCUGCCCUUGACUCUGGGAUAAGCCUGGGAAACUGGGUCUAAUACCGGAUAUGACUCCUCAUCGCAUGGUGGGGGGUGGAAAGCUUUUGUGGUUUUGGAUGGACUCGCGGCCUAUCAGCUUGUUGGUGAGGUAAUGGCUCACCAAGGCGACGACGGGUAGCCGGCCUGAGAGGGUGACCGGCCACACUGGGACUGAGACACGGCCCAGACUCCUACGGGAGGCAGCAGUGGGGAAUAUUGCACAAUGGGCGCAAGCCUGAUGCAGCGACGCCGCGUGAGGGAUGACGGCCUUCGGGUUGUAAACCUCUUUCAGUAGGGAAGAAGCGAAAGUGACGGUACCUGCAGAAGAAGCGCCGGCUAACUACGUGCCAGCAGCCGCGGUAAUACGUAGGGCGCAAGCGUUAUCCGGAAUUAUUGGGCGUAAAGAGCUCGUAGGCGGUUUGUCGCGUCUGCCGUGAAAGUCCGGGGCUCAACUCCGGAUCUGCGGUGGGUACGGGCAGGCUAGAGUGAUGUAGGGGAGACUGGAAUUCCUGGUGUAGCGGUGAAAUGCGCAGAUAUCAGGAGGAACACCGAUGGCGAAGGCAGGUCUCUGGGCAUUAACUGACGCUGAGGAGCGAAAGCAUGGGGAGCGAACAGGAUUAGAUACCCUGGUAGUCCAUGCCGUAAACGUUGGGCACUAGGUGUGGGGGACAUUCCACGUUUUCCGCGCCGUAGCUAACGCAUUAAGUGCCCCGCCUGGGGAGUACGGCCGCAAGGCUAAAA
RNAcentral lists this ribosomal RNA (800 nucleotides) under Arthrobacter sp. RNAcentral describes it as "bacterial SSU rRNA". It matches the Rfam family "Bacterial small subunit ribosomal RNA", at positions 87 to 899 of the family's 1533-position model. The record is from RNAcentral. Lineage: Bacteria; Bacillati; Actinomycetota; Actinomycetes; Micrococcales; Micrococcaceae.